RNAcentral lists this ribosomal RNA (301 nucleotides) under uncultured bacterium. Its description in RNAcentral is "partial 16S ribosomal RNA". It matches the Rfam family "Bacterial small subunit ribosomal RNA", at positions 509 to 807 of the family's 1533-position model. The record is from RNAcentral.
CAGCAGCCACGGUAAUACGUAGGGUGCGAGCGUUAAUCGGAAUUACUGGGCGUAAAGCGUGCGCAGGCGGUUAUAUAAGACAGAUGUGAAAUCCCCGGGCUCAACCUGGGACCUGCAUUUGUGACUGUAUAGCUAGAGUACGGUAGAGGGGGAUGGAAUUCCGCGUGUAGCAGUGAAAUGCGUAGAUAUGCGGAGGAACACCGAUGGCGAAGGCAAUCCCCUGGACCUGUACUGACGCUCAUGCACGAAAGCAUGGGGAGCAAACAGGAUUAGAUACCCCUGUAGUCCCUGUCUCUUAUAC